Trichoplusia ni (cabbage looper) is the source of this 938-nucleotide long non-coding RNA. RefSeq lists it as uncharacterized. The record is from RefSeq and is a predicted model, not a curated record. NCBI's taxonomy places the organism in Eukaryota, Metazoa, Arthropoda, Insecta, Lepidoptera, Noctuidae. The transcript has 2 exons.
UUAUCCGAAACUAGUCGAACUAUCCCGAUAAAUACGAGUUUUUUUAAAUAAUAGUACUAAACCUUUUACGAUGAGUUCAGUUCACAUGUUCCAGGACCAUAUAGGGGGAAGUCCCGUAACGCCGGACGGCACCUAGCGCCGGACACUCGUACUAUUUAAGCGAGUGUCGACCCGUUCGAUUCAAAAUACAAGUGAAAGGGGUGCGGGGGUCACACAGGUACAGGGUCACGCGCCGCGCCUCGCCAGUGACAUACACGGCCAUGGCAGGAGCCGCUGAUUGCAGUUUUAGGCGCGAAAUCACGUCGUCAGCUAAAUAUCAAUAGUAUAGAAGAAAGAAGAUAAUAAAAAUGGAAGAGAAGAAAAAGAAAGGAUCUUGGGAGCCACAGAGCUUACAAACUGCUAUUAAUAAAAUUAUGGCAAAAGAACUCAGUGUAACCUAAAAAGGACUAAAUAAAAUCUAAUUUUGAAGUAGCAAUGGAAGGUAAAGGAAAGAAUACCAAUGGAAAGAGCGUAGACAAGAGAAAAGAAGCGACAAACGUGAAACCUAAAGAAAAAAAAGAAGUGAAGUAGAAACAUUGACUGAAACAUCUAAGACAAACAUAACAAUUUGCUUAGUUUGCUUAGAAGCCUCUGAGGAAGCCUGGAUCCAGUGCUCAUCCUAUCGUGGGUGGUUACAUGAAGCAUGUGCAGAUAUUCCAGAGUCUGGAGAUGGCUACAUAUGUGAACGAUGCAGGUUAUUUUGAAAUAUCCGGUGCUAGGGGUAUGGCACAAAUAUUGUCCGGUACUAGGUGCCACUUUUUAAAAUCAUAUUUUUUGUUACCAAAGUUUGAAUGAUGGUAUUAAUUAUUUUUAAGCAGAGGUUGCAUUUUUGUUAAUUUAAUUUGAUUCCUAACUUUGUUAUCUAAUAUAAGUCAUAAACGAAUAAGCAUUUUUUUAAA